AUUGAACGCUGGCGGCAUGCCUUACACAUGCAAGUCGAACGGCAGCACGGGUGCUUGCACCUGGUGGCGAGUGGCGAACGGGUGAGUAAUACAUCGGAACAUGUCCUGUAGUGGGGGAUAGCCCGGCGAAAGCCGGAUUAAUACCGCAUACGAUCUACGGAUGAAAGCGGGGGACCUUCGGGCCUCGCGCUAUAGGGUUGGCCGAUGGCUGAUUAGCUAGUUGGUGGGGUAAAGGCCUACCAAGGCGACGAUCAGUAGCUGGUCUGAGAGGACGACCAGCCACACUGGGACUGAGACACGGCCCAGAGUCCUACGGGAGGCAGCAGUGGGGAAUUUUGGACAAUGGGCGAAAGCCUUAUCCAGCAAUGCCGCGUGUGUGAAGAAGGCCUUCGGGUUGUAAAGCACUUUUGUCCGGAAAGAAAUCCUUGGCCCUAAUACGGUCGGGGGAUGACGGUACCGGAAGAAUAAGCACCGGCUAACUACGUG
Molecule: ribosomal RNA, 486 nt
Filed under: uncultured bacterium
Lineage: Bacteria
Description: partial 16S ribosomal RNA
Rfam family: Bacterial small subunit ribosomal RNA
Source: RNAcentral